GUGGGUAGUUUGACUGGGGCGGUCUCCUCCUAAAGAGUAACGGAGGAGCACGAAGGUUGGCUAAUCCUGGUCGGACAUCAGGAGGUUAGUGCAAUGGCAUAAGCCAGCUUGACUGCGAGCGUGACGGCGCGAGCAGGUGCGAAAGCAGGUCAUAGUGAUCCGGUGGUUCUGAAUGGAAGGGCCAUCGCUCAACGGAUAAAAGGUACUCCGGGGAUAACAGGCUGAUACCGCCCAAGAGUUCAUAUCGACGGCGGUGUUUGGCACCUCGAUGUCGGCUCAUCACAUCCUGGGGCUGAAGUAGGUCCCAAGGGUAUGGCUGUUCGCCAUUUAAAGUGGUACGCGAGCUGGGUUUAGAACGUCGUGAGACAGUUCGGUCCCUAUCUGCCGUGGGCGCUGGAGAACUGAGGGGGGCUGCUCCUAGUACGAGAGGACCGGAGUGGACGCAUCACUGGUGUUCGGGUUGUCAUGCCAAUGGCACUGCCCGGUAGCUAAAUGCGGAAGAGAUAAGUGCUGAAAGCAUCUAAGCACGAAACUUGCCCCGAGAUGAGUUCUCCCUGAGACUUAGAGUCUCCUGAAGGAACGUUGAAGACGACGACGUUGAUAGGCCGGGUGUGUAAGCGCAGCGAUGCGUUGAGCUAACCGGUACUAAUGAACCGUGAGGCUUAACCUUACAA
This 674-nucleotide ribosomal RNA is filed under the name Escherichia coli. RNAcentral describes it as "partial 23S ribosomal RNA". It matches the Rfam family "Bacterial large subunit ribosomal RNA", at positions 2261 to 2925 of the family's 2925-position model. The record is from RNAcentral. RNAcentral also lists the same sequence under 14 other names. Lineage: Bacteria; Pseudomonadati; Pseudomonadota; Gammaproteobacteria; Enterobacterales; Enterobacteriaceae.